AUUCAUGUGUAGGAUAGGUGGGAGACUUUGAAGCAGUGUCGCUAGAUGCUGUGGAGUCGCCCUUGAAAUACCACCCUGAUUACUUUGAGGUUCUAACUUAGACCCGUUACCCGGGUUGAGGACAGUGUGUGGUGGGUAGUUUGACUGGGGCGGUCUCCUCCCAAAGAGUAACGGAGGAGCGCGAAGGUACCCUCAGCAUGGUCGGAAAUCAUGCAAUGAGCGCAAAGGUAAAAGGGUGCUUGACUGUGAGACAGACACGUCGAACAGGUACGAAAGUAGGUCUUAGUGAUCCGGUGGUCCUGUAUGGAAGGGCCAUCGCUCAACGGAUAAAAGGUACUCCGGGGAUAACAGGCU
This 354-nucleotide ribosomal RNA is filed under the name Isochrysis galbana. RNAcentral describes it as "partial Bacterial large subunit ribosomal RNA". It matches the Rfam family "Bacterial large subunit ribosomal RNA", at positions 2128 to 2483 of the family's 2925-position model. Lineage: Eukaryota; Haptophyta; Isochrysidales; Isochrysidaceae. The record is from RNAcentral.